Molecule: long non-coding RNA, 178 nt
Organism: Carassius gibelio (silver crucian carp)
Lineage: Eukaryota; Metazoa; Chordata; Actinopteri; Cypriniformes; Cyprinidae
Exons: 3
Source: RefSeq, a predicted model, not a curated record
CAACGGGUGAGCAACAGUCUGAGUGAAAACCUUCACAUUUCUACUUCGAUCUUAAGAAAGCCAUACAGGUUUGGAACCAAGUGAAAACGCAGUGAUGACCAGCUUUCCAUCAGCUACGGAAUGUGAAAUAAAAAAUGCUAUUUCUAAUCAUUUCAAACAAGCACCAGGGAGGGCAGGG